GGCCAGACUCCUACGGGAGGCAGCAGUGAGGAAUAUUGGUCAAUGGGCGAGAGCCUGAACCAGCCAAGUCGCGUGAGGGAGUACUGCCCUAUGGGUUGUAAACCUCUUUUGUCGGGGAGCAAAAGCCGGACGUGUCCGGCUGUGAGAGUACCCGGAGAAAAAGCAUCGGCUAACUCCGUGCCAGCAGCCGCGGUAAUACGGAGGAUGCGAGCGUUAUCCGGAUUUAUUGGGUUUAAAGGGUGCGCAGGCGGCGAGUUAAGUCAGCGGUAAAAUUGAGGGGCUCAACCUCUUCGAGCCGUUGAAACUGGUUUUCUUGAGUGAGCGAGAAGUAUGCGGAAUGCGUGGUGUAGCGGUGAAAUGCAUAGAUAUCACGCAGAACUCCGAUUGCGAAGGCAGCGUACCGGCGCCCAACUGACGCUCAUGCACGAAAGCGUGGGUAUCGAACAGGAUUAGAUACCCCUGUA
This 464-nucleotide ribosomal RNA is filed under the name uncultured bacterium. Its description in RNAcentral is "bacterial SSU rRNA". It matches the Rfam family "Bacterial small subunit ribosomal RNA", at positions 329 to 792 of the family's 1533-position model. The record is from RNAcentral.